This 498-nucleotide ribosomal RNA is filed under the name uncultured bacterium. Its description in RNAcentral is "partial 16S ribosomal RNA". It matches the Rfam family "Bacterial small subunit ribosomal RNA", at positions 29 to 507 of the family's 1533-position model. The record is from RNAcentral.
ACGAACGCUGGCGGCGUGCCUAAUACCUGCAAGUCGCGCGCAGUUUUUCUGGUGCUUGCACUAGAAAAACUUAGCGGCGAACGGGUGAGUAACACGUAAAGAACCUGCCUCAUAGACUGGGACAACUAUUGGAAACGAUAGCUAAUACCGGAUAACAGUAUUUCUCGCAUGAGAGAUAUUUAAAAGUUGGUUAUGCUAACACUAUGAGAUGGCUUUGCGGUGCAUUAGCUAGUUGGUGGGGUAAAGGCCCACCAAGGCGACGAUGCAUAGCCGACCUGAGAGGGUGAUCGGCCACACUGGGACUGAGACACGGCCCAGACUCCUACGGGAGGCAGCAGUAGGGAAUCUUCCGCAAUGGGCGAAAGCCUGACGGAGCAACGCCGCGUGAGUGAAGAAGGAUUUCGGUUCGUAAAGCUCUGUUGUUAGGGAAGAAUGGAUAUGUAGUAACUAUACAUGUAAGAGACGGUACCUAACCAGAAAGCCACGGCUAACUACGUG